Long non-coding RNA from Passer domesticus (house sparrow), 3234 nucleotides. RefSeq lists it as uncharacterized. The record is from RefSeq and is a predicted model, not a curated record. The transcript has 4 exons. Lineage: Eukaryota; Metazoa; Chordata; Aves; Passeriformes; Passeridae.
GCCUGCAGCGGGCGGGUUGAACAGAGGCCUGAGGAGAGCCGGACAUUUGCUGGGGAAGAAAUUUGAGAGCAGCAGCAGGGAGCAGCCCAGGACCCCGCGGGUGCCGGGACCAGGAGGAUGUUUAUCUUUGCUCUGGGCCGGGCUCUCUGAACUUUCUCUGCCGCUCUCAUCAGUCGUCACUACCUUCCAAUCUUUAAAUGGCCGCUGAGCCAUUGCAAAACAGCUUCAGUGCCCACCUGGUGCUCUCAGGCUGGGUCAGGAGUUCUGUGAGGGUGACUGUGGGAUGAGGUGCUUCCAGCACUUCUUGGGAAUUGCAGGAGAUAUUUUCCUCUUAAACAAAAAUGCAGAGUAAAAUCAUAGAACCAUUAAGGCUGGGAAAGACUUCUAAGGUCACCAAGUCCAGCUGUUAACCCAGCCCCACUGAAUCAUGUCCCAAAAUGACACAUCCAGACGCCUUUUGAACAUUUCCAGGGAUGUGAUUUCACCUCUUUCCUGGGCAGCCUGUUCCAAUGCCUGACCAGCCUUUCAGUGAAGAAAUUGUCCCCAAUAUCCAACCUAAACCUCCCCUGGCACAACACAAGGCUUUUUUCUCUGGUCCUGUCAUUUCUUACUUGAGAGAAGAAACCAACCCCCACCUGGUUACAGCCUCCCUUCAGGUUGUUUGCAGAGAGCAGGAAGGUCCCCUGGGAGCCUCUUUCUCUCCAGGCUAAAGUUAGGGGUUUUUACAUGUCUGUUUCUUUUGAAUAUGUUUUUCUUUCAAGGCUUCUGUAGGAAAGGCAGUCCUUGGGACUCAUGGCAAUUUCUGGUGGAACUGAGGAAGGAAGUAGUUCCCUUCAGGAUUUACUCCCAUCUCACCCAUAUGUAGAUGUACCUGUGUAAAUCAACAGCAAGGUCUAAUUUCUCAGCAGUGGCAAACAACAUCACGAGAUGAACUGAAGCAUCAAGAGUGUUUUUAAAAAGGGAGUUGGUGGUCCCAAACAUGGCAUUCUUCAAAUACAACAAAACUUUGGGCAACUCUGGUAUCUGGCCCUGAAUGCCAAGGCUUGUUAUCCCCACUGGAAGAGCAAGGCAGGGGAAGGUCCUUGAGUAGGAAUUGGGGAGAGGCAGAGUAGGAAAGCUUACAGUCAUGGUUCAGUGUGACCUGACAGGGAAUUGAGCUCAGCACAUACGGGCACAUGCAGCUGCCAUCUGAGUGUUUGUACAGCUGUUUCCAGAGUUCCCCCAGGGAAAACAUGUUUCAAAAGACUCCGCUCUUAUUUGUCUUUCUUUUUUUCAGUCACUGCCAGCAGUCCUCUUCUAGUUGCCCAGUUCUCAGUGUCUUGGAUAGAGGAUCUGCUGGCACCCAGGAAAUCAUUAAGAAAUCCAUUAGUAAAAGGUCUUGCUCUGGACUGCUCCAUGGGCUAACUGUGGGAAGCCCUGUGAGCUCUCUGAGCUCUAAUCAACACCAAUACCAGCUCUCAUGGGGCUGCUUCCCUCCCCAGCCCCAGAGGUUCUGUCACUCUCAGUCUGAGGCUGCCUUCCUUGGCAAGCUGUGGCUGCACAAAAAGAAAAGCAUGCAGCUUGUAAAAAUAACAGAUUUAAGAAAAUUAUGGGAAGAGGCCCCAAACCAAAUAGGUUCAGAUUUCCUUGCAAACCACAAGUCCAGAGAGUCAAACUAUUCCCAAACACAGCACCAUCUCUUGUCUUGCACACAAAUGCCACAAACUGCUCCCCCAGUACCAUGUGCUGAAACACCAGUUUUAAGGAAAGUUAUAUAUGCAUGUCACCAGUAUUUAACUAUAGCUCUUUGGGAAAAAAACAAGCUCCUGGAAAUUUCUGUAUCUGGAGGAACUGAAGCUUAAGCAAAGGUUUUCCCAAAGAGGGUACAAAUCAAAGUUGGGGGGCAGUCUGGUCAAAUAGGUUGACCUAUUCAUGAUGCCAGGUUUAGGCUUUUGGAAACCUACAAGCACAUGAAAUACAAAAACGUUUACCAAUUGGGGUGUCCUCUAAUUGCAACUAAAAAAGAAAAAGAAAACCUGAGGGCUAGAUCUAGUUCAACCCAUGUCCAGGCACCAAAACCUCCAGGAGAAGGGGUGCUCCCAGAGCCUUUACUCUCUUCCCACUGACAGUCCAGCUGUGCUAGUGCACAGGGAUGAACAGUUCUGCUGGUAAUCAGUAGAAGAGUGAAGUGCAGAAAGACCAAAACACACCAGUCAUUCAAAAUAAGCUGAGAACAGGGACUGGCGACGUCAUUGUGCCUUUAUUAAAUCCUCCUGGAAAUUAAUUUUCCAUGCCCUGAAGAAAGCCACUUGGAUAUUUGUAAAUUCAAGUUGUCAUUUUAAUCAGAUGGAAGUCAGUUAGAAUUUCACGAAUAAUUUAAAUAAUAGUCAGAAUUUAAAGUCCAUGCUCCUACUCAAGGGCAUUUAAAGCCAUUGUAAAUGAAAAAUGAAAUUUAUCAAUGAUUUUUCCCUUGCGCUGAACAAAUGGCCUUCAUUGAACAACUGCUGCAUAAGAGUUGUCUUUAUCUCACUGAAGCUGAGACCAGAACCUACAGCACCAAAUGCUCUUUCUUCAGAGUGUAUCUCAGCACACACACACACACACAAAGGAGAGUUAACAGCAGGCCUUGCUGACACAGGAGUUUAUCUUAGCACAGCUAAUGCAUUACCAGCUAAUUCCUGGAAGUUGAAAGCAGCCAGGUCUCAGACCCCGCUCACACGUGUUGCUUGUGAUAAGAAGCAACACUUUUGUAUUUCUGCAUCUGUUUGUUAGCGUCACUGAACAGCAUGAAGAAGGCCUCAUCUCUUAGACGAAGCGAGUAAUCCUCUGUCAUGCGUAAGCACUUACGAGAACAAGCCAGGCUGCUCAGCACAUGGGAGAUGAGAGAUGGAGAACAGGUUCUGUAACAAGGGCCCCUGUUCAAAGCCAGUCAAGAGAGGUCUCAGCAGUAACUCACCAGAAAACCCCAAGUAUAUGGCAAUCCCAGUGUUUAUCAUGGAAUACCAUGGUGCCAGAGCUAUCCUGGAGAUGGUCCCAGCCUGUCCACAUGCCCCAGGGCAGGAUUCAUGAAAAACAAGAGGACAGAGUUCUUAAAAGAAUUGGAAGCUGCCAGGCAAGAAUCUUGAUGUCUGGAAUCGUGCACUAAGAAAAGAACAGCCUUUGUACUUACGUAGUGUAUUCAUCAUAUGACCACUGCUCUCUUGGGAUCUGUUAUGACUGGCAUCUUUGUCAGGAACAGCCUGUUGUGGUAUGGCA